This 104-nucleotide small RNA is filed under the name Salmonella enterica. RNAcentral's name for it is "partial RtT sRNA". It matches the Rfam family "RtT RNA", at positions 1 to 103 of the family's 130-position model. From Rfam's summary of the family: This family represents a bacterial cis-regulatory element known as RtT RNA. The exact function of RtT is unknown although it is thought that it may be involved in changing the cellular response in relation to amino acid starvation. The record is from RNAcentral. Lineage: Bacteria; Pseudomonadati; Pseudomonadota; Gammaproteobacteria; Enterobacterales; Enterobacteriaceae.
UAUCUCUCCGUACGGGGAAGGAUGAGAAGCUUCGACUAAGGUUCGAUUCGAGCGCAGCGAGAAAGCGUUGCCGUAGGCAACGACCCGAAGGGCGAAGCGCGCAG